Bos taurus (domestic cattle) is the source of this 1442-nucleotide long non-coding RNA. The record is from Ensembl. Lineage: Eukaryota; Metazoa; Chordata; Mammalia; Artiodactyla; Bovidae.
CAUAAACAAUUAGAAAAAAGAUGUAAUGCAAUAUAAAACCACACAUAAUGUGUAAUCAAUUUAUAUCAAAAUUUAAAAAAUAGUGUAGAUUCAUAUAGUCACAGUAAUGACAAUCAUUCAUUCACCUGAUAAUUCAUUAAUAUCUUUUAUCUGCAAGGCACUAGUCUAGACGUUGGGAUGCAAUGAUACCAAAAGCCCUGCUCUUGGGAGGCUUAGAGACAGAAUGGACGAGGUGAACACAGAGAGACUGAGUAGUUGUCCCGCAGCUGCGGAAGAGAGCAAAGUGGUGAAAGAGGCACAAAGAAGCAGCAACAAGGGACAAGAAGGAAGAGAAAGGUUAGAGGAGAGCAGGAAGUUAGACAGUAGGGGAUAGUGAAGCUUAACUGCAGGGAUAGGAGGAGGAAAGGUGAACUGGGAGACUUAAUGAAGGGUCUGUUCAAAAGUUAAGUUGGAGCUUUUGAAUGUAAUAUGCUAAGUAGCAAGGAAAGUUAAUAGCAUCUUUGUUUUGCACCUGAUUUUUUUUUUUAUUAGUAGAACCUUAUGAGUGCCACACCAAGAACAUUUUUAAAUACUAGUCUAUAAUUCUGCCACUUAAUAACUUUUCAUUUUGUUGUGCCCCGUCUUUACCAUACAUAUUUCUAAAUCAAUGAAUCAUCCUAGGUUCUGUAAUGGGUAGUAAUUUGUUCAAAAGGGGUUUUGGGCAGACAUUAGCUGCAGGAUGCACCAUGAUUAUAGGUGGGAGAGAUUAGAGAUAAAUGCCUCGUGGAAAGGCAGCUGUAGACUAUAAUAAUCUAGGCUCCCAAGGAUCGUAGAGUUCACAGGGAGAGCGGCCAGGCUGUAGAGAAGAAACAGAUCCCGGAGCACUCUGAAUCUCUGUAGAGGAAGUGCCCCCAUACCUGGGAAAUGGCUUCCAAAGAACAAGAGACUCAACCAACACCCCUGUUCCACAGCCACAAAGAACUUGAGCUUUCUGGUGGUGAACUGGACAUGGAAGUUGUUUUUACCAACAGGAGAAGAGGAAGAGUAACAGUUAUAAAGGGAAUUGACAGCAAGUUGGCUCAUCGGUUGCCAGGGAAACCAGCAGAGGUGUUUGUUGCUGAGUACGGGCUUUCUCUAGUUGCGGUGACGGGGCUUCUCAUCGCAGUGGCUUCUCUUGUGGAGAAAGGGCUUUUGGCACCAGGGCUUUAUGGGAUUAGUUGCUCCACGGCAUGUGGAAUCUUCCUGGACCAGCGAUCAAACCCGUGUCCCCUGAAUUAUCAGGUGAAUUCUUAACCACUGAACCACCAGGGAAGUCCCAAGAAUGUUCCAUCUUUCAGUUCUGUUUGAUGUAAACAGUUGCACCUACAACAAGAUACUAACAGUCAGGUACCAAGAGGAAUUUUGAAAGAUACUCUAUAUAAAUAUAGGAAUUGCCCAAGCAAGCACUAAAACCUAUAGGCAAC